RNAcentral lists this long non-coding RNA (257 nucleotides) under Nicotiana benthamiana. RNAcentral describes it as "long non-coding RNA (NBEN_LNC030075)". Lineage: Eukaryota; Viridiplantae; Streptophyta; Magnoliopsida; Solanales; Solanaceae. The record is from RNAcentral.
UUAAUUGUCUUUUACCCGUUUGAAAUUAGAAUCCCUAAAUUGAAGGGGGAUUUUAUGUGAUUUAUUGCAUAUUAUUUUCUUACUCUUUUCUAGUUUUCUUACUCAGACCUCCUUGAACCUUCAGUUCAACACCUUUAACUUACAUUACUCACACACUUACAAUUCAGUACUUCUUUGAGUUCAAUACUCGAGCACAAAUUAUUCACUUGCAAUUUAAAUACUCUUGCAACAUUCUGCUCUCUUCUGAGAUCCUUUGG